RNAcentral lists this long non-coding RNA (403 nucleotides) under Gallus gallus (chicken). RNAcentral describes it as "long non-coding RNA NONGGAT003772". The record is from RNAcentral. Lineage: Eukaryota; Metazoa; Chordata; Aves; Galliformes; Phasianidae.
AGCAGGUGGCCGCGCGUGCGCAGUGCGGGCGGUGGAGGCGAGGCUGUGGGCGCGUGGGGUGCGUGCGGUACCUGAGGGCCCCGCCCCCGCUUCGCCGAUCUCACACGCUCGGAAAUGAGCUGGACCCCUUCCUGCAGAUGAGAAAGGCUCCUAGAGAUAUUUGACUGUCCACUGAUGUUCUGGAAAGCUUUAGCACGUGGGAGCUGCCAUGGCAGCUCAGAUCUGUCCCCAGAACAUUCCUGCUUCCUUCACUGUAUGGUUUUGUCAGCACGUAGCUGCUGAUAUAGUUUGCUUUGUGUCUACACUGGUAGCUACGGCCAGUUUUACCCCUACGGGCCAGCUAUAACCCCUGUCAUCAUUAAUGGUUGUUAAAAUUGUGUACAUCUGCAAGUGAUACAUAGGG